AAAGAGCCACCGGAAGUGAGCAUUAGGGGUAACCCCCGAUUGUUAGCGGAAGGUAAUGGCCCAUUCGUGUCUACCGACCCAGUUGCCUCGGCGGGCCGCGCCGCAAGGCCGGCCGGGGGGAGUCUCUCCCCUCAGUCCGCGCCCGCCGAUGGACCUCUUAAAAUCUGAUAUUUUUGGCUGUCUGAGCGUUAAAGCAAAUCAGUUA
RNAcentral lists this unclassified non-coding RNA (205 nucleotides) under uncultured Ctenomyces. Its description in RNAcentral is "sequence contains ITS1". Lineage: Eukaryota; Fungi; Ascomycota; Eurotiomycetes; Onygenales; Arthrodermataceae. The record is from RNAcentral.